RNAcentral lists this transfer RNA (77 nucleotides) under Pseudomonas aeruginosa. Its description in RNAcentral is "tRNA-Arg". It matches the Rfam family "tRNA". From Rfam's summary of the family: Transfer RNA (tRNA) molecules are approximately 80 nucleotides in length. The record is from RNAcentral. Lineage: Bacteria; Pseudomonadati; Pseudomonadota; Gammaproteobacteria; Pseudomonadales; Pseudomonadaceae. RNAcentral also lists the same sequence under 1131 other names.
GUCUCAGUAGCUCAAUUGGAUAGAGCAUCCCCCUCCUAAGGGGAAGGUUGGCAGUUCGAACCUGCCCUGGGACACCA